Molecule: ribosomal RNA, 484 nt
Filed under: uncultured bacterium
Lineage: Bacteria
Description: partial 16S ribosomal RNA
Rfam family: Bacterial small subunit ribosomal RNA
Source: RNAcentral
AGUGAACGCUGGCGGCAGGCCUAACACAUGCAAGUCGAGCGGCAGCGGGUCCUUCGGGAUGCCGGCGAGCGGCGGACGGGUGAGGAAUACAUCGGAAUCUGCCCUGUCGUGGGGGAUAACCUAGGGAAACUUAGGCUAAUACCGCAUACGACCUACGGGUGAAAGCGGGGGAUCGCAAGACCUCGCGCGACAGGAUGAGCCGAUGUCCGAUUAGCUAGUUGGCGGGGUAAAGGCCCACCAAGGCGACGAUCGGUAGCUGGUCUGAGAGGAUGAUCAGCCACACUGGAACUGAGACACGGCCCAGACUCCUACGGGAGGCAGCAGUGGGGAAUAUUGGACAAUGGGCGCAAGCCUGAUCCAGCCAUGCCGCGUGGGUGAAGAAGGCCUUCGGGUUGUAAAGCCCUUUUGUCCGGGAAGAAAUCGUCUGGGCUAAUACCCCGGGCGGAUGACGGUACCGGAAGAAUAAGCACCGGCUAACUUCGUG